RNAcentral lists this small RNA (312 nucleotides) under Arabidopsis thaliana (thale cress). Its description in RNAcentral is "ATSL109080". Lineage: Eukaryota; Viridiplantae; Streptophyta; Magnoliopsida; Brassicales; Brassicaceae. The record is from RNAcentral.
GAACCUUCUUAUAUCUCUUUUGGAAACUGUGAAAUCAGACUCAGACCUUGUUUGUUUUUCAUCCAAAUGAUUCAUCCAAAUGCAGAUGAAAAAUGAUGUUUGUUUUUUAUAAUUUAACAAGUAUUUGGAUGGAUCAUCUGGAUGAUACAUCUGAAUGAGUUUCUAAAUUUAGACAAAUUUAUGAAAUUCAUUUAGAUGAAUUUGAUUGAAGCAUUUGGAUGAAGAUGGUUUAUUCAAAAAUAACAAAAGACAGAUAUACCCUUAUUUAUAAUCAUAAAUUAAAUCAUGUUAUUUUCUAUAGAUUUCUUAAUU